CAGCCGCCGCGGUAACACGUAGGGUGCGAGCGUUAAUCGGAAUUACUGGGCGUAAAGCGUGCGCAGGCGGUUUUGUAAGACAGGCGUGAAAUCCCCGGGCUCAACCUGGGAAUGGCGCUUGUGACUGCAAAGCUAGAGUGCGGCAGAGGGGGAUGGAAUUCCGCGUGUAGCAGUGAAGUGCGUAGAUAUGCGGAGGAACACCGAUGGCGAAGGCAAUCCCCUGGGCCUGCACUGACGCUCAUGCACGAAAGCGUGGGGAGCAAACAGGAUUAGAUACCCGAGUAGUCCCUGUCUCUUAUAC
RNAcentral lists this ribosomal RNA (301 nucleotides) under uncultured bacterium. Its description in RNAcentral is "partial 16S ribosomal RNA". It matches the Rfam family "Bacterial small subunit ribosomal RNA", at positions 509 to 807 of the family's 1533-position model. The record is from RNAcentral.